RNAcentral lists this unclassified non-coding RNA (343 nucleotides) under uncultured fungus. RNAcentral describes it as "partial contains 5.8S ribosomal RNA and internal transcribed spacer 2". The stretch from base 1 to 133 matches the Rfam family "5.8S ribosomal RNA", at positions 22 to 154 of the family's 154-position model. Lineage: Eukaryota; Fungi. The record is from RNAcentral.
UGGCUCUCGCAUCGAUGAAGAACGCAGCGAAAUGCGAUAAGUAAUGUGAAUUGCAGAAUUCAGUGAAUCAUCGAAUCUUUGAACGCACCUUGCGCCUUUUGGUAUUCCGAAAGGCAUGCCUGUUUCAGUGUCAUGAAAUCUCAAUCUAAUAGGUUUUCUGAACUUGUUAGACUUGGACAUGGGCGUCUUGCCAGUUAUGGCUCGCCUCAAAUGACUUAGUGGAACAUCCCACAUCAGUGUUAGACGUAAUAAGUUUCGUCUCUCCUUGUGGUGAUGACUGCUCAUAACUUGCCAUCGCGCACUUUUUGACUUUGUCCUGAAAUCAGGUAGGGCUACCCGCUGA